CCUACGGGAGGCAGCAGUGAGGAAUAUUGGUCAAUGGGCGGGAGCCUGAACCAGCCAAGUCGCGUGAGGGAAGACGGUCCUAUGGAUUGUAAACCGCUUUAGGCGGGGAGCAAUGCCGGGCACGCGUGCCCGGAGGGAGAGUACCCGCAGAAUAAGCAGCGGCGAAAUCCGUGCCAGCAGCCGGGGUAAUACGGAGGAUGCGAUGGUUAUCCGGCGUUAUUGGGUUAAAAGGGUGCGUAGGCGGAUUUUGAAGUCAGCGGUAAAAUGUCCGGGCUCAACCCGGGCCUGCCGUUGAAACUGGGGAUCUUGAGUCGGCGUGAAGUAUGCGGAAUGCGUGGUGUAGCGGUGAAAUGCAUAGAUAUCACGCAGAACUCCGAUUGCGAAGGCAGCAUACCGGCGCCCGACUGACGCUGAGGCACGAAAGCGUGGGGAUCGAACAGGAUUAGAUACCCCUGUAGUC
This 460-nucleotide ribosomal RNA is filed under the name uncultured bacterium. RNAcentral's name for it is "partial 16S ribosomal RNA". It matches the Rfam family "Bacterial small subunit ribosomal RNA", at positions 338 to 795 of the family's 1533-position model. The record is from RNAcentral.